RNA transcript from Lutzomyia longipalpis, 4774 nucleotides. RefSeq lists it as uncharacterized. The record is from RefSeq and is a predicted model, not a curated record. NCBI's taxonomy places the organism in Eukaryota, Metazoa, Arthropoda, Insecta, Diptera, Psychodidae. The transcript has 6 exons.
CUUCCUAGCUUUUCUGGCCACUGUAAAUAAUCCAAUUCCUUUGCACUUCCGGCUUUCUGGGCAGGAAACUUUAAUUCUUUCACAUCAUUCACAAUUUUUAACGGUAGAUUUCAAAAAGUUGUCAGUUGAUUUGUUUCCAAAAUAAACUUUAAGGUUAGGUUUCUGAGUUUUCUGCUCUUCGCCAGCUCGCAAAAAAGAAUAAAAUUCUUCCGUUUCUGGAAUAUGUCGCGUGGCGAUAAUUUCCCACCCCUCAAGAAAGCUCGUGCUAAUUCUAAUUCAACAAUAACGAGUCUUCUCACGGGUCAAAAUACCCCACAGCAAGCUCCCGGAAUGCAUCUGCCAAUUUCAAGUGAUUCCGGGGAGUACCAGCCAAUUUUUAGUGCUGAAAUUAGCAAUAUAAUGCGAGGAUUUGGGGACUGUGAACGUCCCAUGAAGGAGUCUGUUGCAUUAGUUGAGAAGAUCGUCUACCAGCAGAUGCGGGGGAUUCUUCAGGAGGCAAUUGACUGCGCUGUGGCCAGGAAGGGGGUGCCAUGUCCCAGUCAGAAGGACUUUGAGUUCAUGAUGCGAAAGCACCCACUGAAGAUCCAUCGUUUGCAGAAGUACAUGAAGCACCAUCAAAAGUAUCAGGAUCUCAUUGCCGGGCGUGUUGGAACGGCAAUUCCCAAAGAAGUGGAGACAAGUCCGGGAUCAGAAUCAGACGAUGAUAGCGACAGGGAAGUUCCCGAGAGGUAUGAUGAGGAAAAGACACGGAGGAUGUUUCGAGCAAAUCGCAUCUCACAGUCACUCAACAGUGAGCAAUACAAGCAAUUCAGUACGGCCAGGACAACGUCCUUCUACGAUCGCAAUACAGCCACAAUGAAGACGAAAUUCCGUACGUGGCUCAGUAUUCCGGCUGAAGUGCAAAUCACAUCGGAAGUUCUGAAGAUUUUGGCAUAUCUCGUGCAUGAAACAAUUGCUGUUAUUGUUGACUACUGCAUCCUGACCCGGUUGAAUUCCAGCAAUAGGAUGACUGAACCAUACAGCCGCAUAUCCUCGGGAUCAACGCAUGGAAUGCUCCAUCUCUGUCCGGAAAUUACCCAAGGAAGGGGAUGCGAUGGUGUUAAACCCAUUACGGUGCAGGAGAUAAAUGAAGCAUUGCGACGUCACACCUUGAUGGCGUCAAAGCCAAUGGGUCUGUUCAGGAAUGUGAGGUCAGGAACCAAUUCACCCUUUCUUGCCAUUUAAAUUCAUCGGAAAUCUUCUAAAAGAAUAGAAAGUCAAAUUUAUUAGCUACCGGAAUGGAAAAGACUGAAAGUUUUAUUUGACAAUAUGAAAAAAAAACAUCACAAACUGUUUCUACAGAUACGACUCUUCAGUUAUGUCCUUUAUCACCACUUCUUCCUUGACAACUUUGGCUGGAUUUUUGUAGUAUUUCCUGAUGACUGGAGAUAUGAGGGAUGCAUCGAUGCUAUGAGGAUCAUUACCCCCAUUUAUUAAAUUAACAAUAAACGCCACAAGAAUGGUUGAAAUGGUUCCCAGGAAAGUGUACCACAUGUAGGAGAUUCGAUAGAGUGGCAUUAUGCUAUAUAAAAACAAAAUGUGUGCAAUACCAUACAUAUUGGGAGCGAUCCUCCUGUGAGAACAUGCCGGAAGCCCUAUUGAGGAAAAAUCUCGUUUUAAUGCAGCAUCUUCUGCCGUGUUGUGCAUUGGGGCGGGGUGCAAUGGGAAGAUUCUAGAGCAGACUCUUUUGCAAAAAUUGCGUGGCAGCGAAGAUCCGUAACGGAAUAUUCCUGUUUCACGGGGCGAUAAAGGUGUGGAGUGGAUAAGAUAACCGGGUAGAAUUCUUUGAGUAUUGGUUGGCAUGGAUGGACUCGGCGGAAAGCACCUCGCAAUGGAAUGUUCUCUCUCUCUCAAUGGGGCAAACCUGAAGAAAAAUGUUCGGGUAUAAGGCAGCAGCAAGUAAAGAGAAAGAGAGACUCUCUCACCAAUGAAGAGUGUGCAGAUGACGAGAUCGAGCCGCGAUGGAGUAGGAAAGAAGUGGGUCACCGUAUAUAAAGACAAGUUCAAGGCAACUUUAGUUCCAGAAGUGAAGAUUAACUUGCAGUGAAACGAAAUAUUUGCAAAGGAGAAAUUUGUUCAGUUGGAAGGAAUUAUUUUCUAAUUCACGCCUACACUCUUUUCUCUCUUUUGGUUUAACGAAAGAAAAAAAAUCGCUACGCACACAUUUCACCUCUAAAAAGGGCACACGAAGACAAAAUCAGAAUGCUCAAGACACAGGUGACAGGAUGGUGCUUCUUUGUGCUACUCAUGGCCAAUGGUGUAUUUGCACUGCCCAAUCAAUACAUACCGCGAGAGAUUGUGGCGCGUCAGCGUAUUGUGGAGCCACCACGGGUACCAGUUGCACGUAUUGAGGAAGUCAACCGUAAAUUUGCCGAGAAACCCAAUGCCCUGAAGAAGGUAGCUCUGGAUGACAUUGAUGAUGACAUUCAGACAAAUCAAAUCCAAGAAUCCGGACAAGGGUUCUCAUGGACAAAUAUGCUGAGCACCGUGCUGCAGAUGAUGUUCCCCGCCAAUGGCAACAGCAGCCCCACAAAGAGCGAUGACAUUGACAACAAUGUGGGCUUUACACAGUCUCCCUGGACCAAUCUCCUCUCUGUUGGACUCAAAAUUCUAACAGCCAUCCUUGGUGGUGGACAGAACAAUGAUGGUAUCGACAAAGUAGACAACGGUGGUGGUGGAUCACCCAUGCAGGUAAAUUCAUCUCAUAUCCAUCCAGAGAGUAUAUUUUCACAAUUUUUUUUCAUUCACAAAAAGAACCCCAAAGCAGUUGAAAGUAGAAUUUCCCUGUGAUUCUAUUAAUCCACCUUGUAGUGUUCUUUAGUUUAUUUUUUAUUAUUACCCCCCUGCUUAUUAAUGCUGGCAAUGUCCCUUCACCCUAACGGAAAUAAUGAGAAAAACUUAGAAAAUGUGUAAAUAAUGCAUAUUACAGUCCCAAAGGCAAUGAAAAAGCAUUUUCCGUUCAUUUUAUCCUAAUGUACAGUGUUUGAUGGAUUCUUGUAUGUUUCUCAAUGAUCUAUAUUAAUUAGGAAUUUCAUUAUUAAAAUUAGUUCAAAGCAAGGCUAAAACUUUAGGUUUAAUUUGUAUUAGGAUUGGACUUAGAUUUAUUUAUUUAGAUAAAUUAGGAAACCGAUAAAAUUUAAAACUCUCCUACUAAGAGAAAUAAGAUUUUAAAAGACAGAUUAGUCCAUAAUUAAAGAUAAUUUUUAGGGAGAGGGAUGACUGAAAGCUUAGCCUUUUUUCUACUAAUCCAGAUUCGUCCAUUAAUUCGCUAGAAAAAGCGAAUUAAAAAACGUAUAAAAAGUUUUUAUUUUUAUAGAAAUUAAAUGGAUUCGGUUGAAUAAAGUCUUUUAGGAGUUCUUGUAUGAAAGUUAAAGAAUUCUGGUUGAAUUUUCUAGCCAGUUUUCAUAUAAGGUUUGCAAAACCAUCUAGGAUAUAUCAACGUUUUUUUUUUCUUGCUUGAGAAAAUUCGUUAAUUUUAUUAAGUCCAUAAAAUUGUACAAAGAGAACUACCAGAAGUAUUCUCAAUAUGAGAUUUUUUCCACUAUCUUUCGUCUUAAAUUCAGUUCUUGUGAUCGGUUUUAGGACGCUCUCUCCUUGAUUUUUUUUAAGAAUCAACAUAAAGAAGUUAAUUAAAUAGAUUAAUCCUAAUCUUAAUAUUUUUUAAAGUACAACACUGCAAAUCUUUAGAAUUUUUUUUUUAAAUUAAUUUCGGAUUAAAUCUAAAAAAGAAAAUAAAAUAAAUUGGAGCUUUUUGCCAUGGGACAGUAGUGUACAGGCUGUAGUUAUGUUUCUUUUCAUCUUACAUCUUGGAAAUUGGUUUCUGGCAAUGACAGGGAAUCCUGGCGGCUGUUCUCUCAGCAAUGUUGGGCGCGAAAGAUCCUGAGCAGGUUAACACGAUGGCUAAGCAGGCUGGUGAGGUGAGUGGUACUUGUACAGAGCAAAAAAAAAUCUCUUCCAACUUCUUUUCUUACCACAUUUCAUACAACUUUGGUGUGUGGGAGUGGAGGGUGAAAUUGAUUCUUUUAUUUUUGUGUGGGUGUCUAGCUUUACUGUGCAGCUCAUCAGUUUUUUUUUUACCUUUUAGCAAAAUUAUUUAAAUAUCUUCUUUUUUAUUAAUUUUCUUGCAGUUUAUCAAUAUCGUGAUGAAUCUCUUGGAUGCCCUCAAGACAUCCUUCUCGCAUCGUUCCAUCCGUGCUCGUUCAAUUGGUAAGAAGGACUCUGUGAGUGAUGCUGCCGUUGCUGGGUUGUCCAUGCUCAAGGGCUAUGCGAAGACGUACAAGAAUAGCGACGACAAGUGCAUGCAGAAGUAUCUCUGUGAGGCCAAUAGGGAGUGCAAUGCUGACAUCGGAGGCACAAGUAUAUUCUGCCAAUUGGGUACAUACGCCACCAGCUUUGUCCUCGAACGAACCACAAGUACAGCCUUUGAAACCUUCUACGAGGCUGGACGACAGGGAAGGUCCGGUAUUGAUUGCCGACAACUCUACUUGGAAUGCAAUGAAGUUUAAUCUUUCAACAACAAAAAAAAAACUCUUCUGAGCACGUGACAAAGUUAUUAAGUAUAAAUUUAUAUACAAACCCUCUUCUAUGUAAUUUAUUUAUUUAUAUAUCCUAGGGUAGAAUGAAAUAAAUUGAAUGUGUGUGUGUUUUAGAUCUUAUAGAAAAAAAAUCAUGUUUUAUUUUUACAUGUGAUUUUCUUAUUUUGCGAUUUCUUACAAUAAAACAUCAUUUAGCGUCA